Molecule: transfer RNA, 83 nt
Filed under: Caudoviricetes sp.
Lineage: Duplodnaviria; Heunggongvirae; Uroviricota; Caudoviricetes
Description: tRNA-Trp
Rfam family: tRNA
About the family: Transfer RNA (tRNA) molecules are approximately 80 nucleotides in length.
Source: RNAcentral
UGGGCGGUACUCAAGUGGUCGACGAGGGUAGUCUCCAAAACUACUAGCGAAAGCUCACUCAGGUUCGAAUCCUGACCGUUCAG